AGCGGCGGACGGGUGAGUAACGCGUGGGUAACCUGCCUCAUACAGGGGGAUAACAGUUGGAAACGGCUGCUAAUACCGCAUAAGCGCACAGUACCGCAUGGUACCGUGUGAAAAACUCCGGUGGUAUGAGAUGGACCCGCGUCUGAUUAGCUAAUUGGUGGGGUAACGGCCUACCAAGGCGACGAUCAGUAGCCGACCUGAGAGGGUGACCGGCCACAUUGGGACUGAGACACGGCCCAA
This 240-nucleotide ribosomal RNA is filed under the name uncultured bacterium. RNAcentral describes it as "partial 16S ribosomal RNA". It matches the Rfam family "Bacterial small subunit ribosomal RNA", at positions 94 to 334 of the family's 1533-position model. The record is from RNAcentral.